Molecule: ribosomal RNA, 429 nt
Filed under: Chloroflexota bacterium
Lineage: Bacteria; Bacillati; Chloroflexota
Description: Chloroflexi bacterium partial 16S ribosomal RNA
Rfam family: Bacterial small subunit ribosomal RNA
Source: RNAcentral
UGGGGAAUAUUGCACAAUGGGCGCAAGCCUGAUGCAGCCAUGCCGCGUGUGUGAAGAAGGCCUUCGGGUUGUAAAGCACUUUCAGCGGGGAGGAAGGCGUUAAGGUUAAUAACCUUGGCGAUUGACGUUACCCGCAGAAGAAGCACCGGCUAACUCCGUGCCAGCAGCCGCGGUAAUACGGAGGGUGCAAGCGUUAAUCGGAAUUACUGGGCGUAAAGCGCACGCAGGCGGUCUGUCAAGUCGGAUGUGAAAUCCCCGGGCUCAACCUGGGAACUGCAUUCGAAACUGGCAGGCUAGAGUCUUGUAGAGGGGGGUAGAAUUCCAGGUGUAGCGGUGAAAUGCGUAGAGAUCUGGAGGAAUACCGGUGGCGAAGGCGGCCCCCUGGACAAAGACUGACGCUCAGGUGCGAAAGCGUGGGGUGCAAACAGG